Molecule: non-coding RNA, 80 nt
Organism: Paramuricea clavata
Lineage: Eukaryota; Metazoa; Cnidaria; Anthozoa; Malacalcyonacea; Plexauridae
Source: the annotation of a GenBank genome assembly
CUCUCUGUAGCUCAGUCGGUUAGAGGUUAGAGCGCUGCACCGGAAUUGCAGGGACGCAGGUUUAAUUCUUGCCAGAGGGU